This 3413-nucleotide long non-coding RNA is filed under the name Marmota monax (woodchuck). The record is from RNAcentral. Lineage: Eukaryota; Metazoa; Chordata; Mammalia; Rodentia; Sciuridae.
CUGAAUCCCCUUCCUUUCCCCCCAGUACAGUUAAACCUCUCUAAUUUGGGAUGUUAUAUUUGAGAAGAUGGCCACUCUGAAUAAAUGACAAAUCUGAAUGACAGUGUCUAUUUAAUGAAAUGCAUGUCUUCAAAAUAUAUACAGUAAGUAGAACUCGGUGAAUAAGGCCCUCAGGGAGCAUGCCUUAAUGAAUAGAUAGGAAUGAAAAGUCUGUUUGCUGGUAUAGGUUAAAUACCCCCUCCCACAGACACUUUCCACCACUAAUUUGCUUAGCCCACCCUUUCUGCACAGAUAAAGGAAAACUCAAGCCCAGUUUUUGUUCAAAUUAUGAAAAAAAUUCCAAAUCCACAGGGGUUUGGAGUAAUGAGGUUUUGCUGUACUGCCUCCCUUGGUUCCUCAAUACAAAGUUCCUACCUGAGAUUGGGGGGUGGGCUGGGAGGGUGUUCCAAGAGGCAGAGGGUGGGCUAGGAGGGGAAAUAUAGGUGAAGCUAGUGGGGUUAGGUUGGGGGUGAGGUGGGAGCUUGCUGCUUUUGAGCUGGUUUCCUGGUGUUACACUCUGGGUUGAAGGUUUGAAGGCCCCUGUUAGGAGUCUGGGAAAUGAGUCUCUACCUGAUCCCAGAGGAUCCUACAGGUGAGAAAAAACAGGAGGCUGGUGGGGAUUGUCCUGGGAGGAGCGGGUGGACAUGGCUUAUGGAGUGGGUUGGCUAGUGGGGAGGUCACUGAUAGGGGUCUGGCAUCCAGGCCCCUGCGAAGCGUCUCAAUAAGUCCGCGCUCUCCUCUUUGGUAUCUUGCAGGAGAGGCAGCUUCCCCCCUUGGGUCCAACAAACCCGCGUGUGACGCUGGCCCCACCUUGGAACGGCCUGGCCCCCCCAGCCCCGCCCCCCCCACCCCGGCUGCAGAUCACGGAGAACGGCGAGUUCCGAAACACCGCAGACCACUAGCCCACCCAGCAUCACAGACCUUCUUCUCCUUCCCCGUGCACUCCACCCCGGAACAGCACCAACCACCAGGACUGGACGUCACCGAGGGACAGUGGGAUUGCCUCCCUGAAUGCCUCCUUGGGGGUCACCAAUCCUCCACCCCCAUUGCACCAUUUCUAGGAGGGAGAGCGGGAACCCUCAGCCGCCCUCUCUUCCUUCCUGUCGGGGUGCUGCCCCCUCUGACCCCCAGGGACCCUUGCCCCAGGACACCUCCUAACCCACACAGACCCCCUUCACUCCGGGGUGCUACCCCCAUCCUCUGCCUCAUCGUUCCCCUGAGCACUGGGGGACAGACCCUCACCCCCCACCCUGGGGGUGUGGCACCUCCAAACUUUCAACUUCAGGGUGAUUUUUUAGCAGUAACCAGAGCUGACAAUCUAACUCCUCUCCACCGCCCCAUUUUUGGCCUCCCCUGCCCCCCUUGUAAUGGGGAGGGGACCCCGGGUGAGGGGGCCCUAUUACCCCUUGAUUUCUCAGGAGCGUCUGGGGGGGCUCAGCACGCACAAACUCCUACUCCUCCUACCACUCUUAAAUUUAUUCCCUCCCCACCCAGAACCCAGAUGGGGUGGAGGGGGCCGCCGGGGCAGGGAGGGGGCGGCAAGGGGGGAAUGGGAGCUGUCUCCCCUUCUUCCCACACCUGAUCUGCUCUCGGCUGGUCCCAGAGCGGGGUGAGGGGGCUUAUGCCCCCCCCUCCCCCAGUGUGUUGGGGUGGGGUGGAAUUGAGGUUAGGGUGAGGGGUUAGGGUUAGGAGAGUGUGUGUGUCAGGGAGGACAGACUGAUUAUCUGCCCUACCCUGACACACACAGUCCCCUGCCCCUCCCCUCUCUCUUGGUCUCUACUCCCAGGGGGAGGGGGGAACUUACUCUAGGAAAAGCCAUGUCUCUCUCCCCCAGGGUGGGGGGACCUGUGUUGGAGGAGGGGUGUUGGGGGCCCCCUUCCAUGACUCUGUCCCCCUGGGGAGGUAGGACAGGGCUGGGCUUCCCUCUCAUCCUCCCCCCCCCAAUCUCUUUUCACCUCCCUCCCUCCCGCCAGCUCCACAAUUUUUCGGUGUUUCUCUGUACAUAGCUCUCUGGCGGGAUAGGGGAGGAAGGAUGGAUGGGGUUUGGGGUGGGUAGGCCCUGGGAGGGGAGAUGUCCCUCCCUGGCACCCCCUCCUCCCUGACUGCUGUCCCCUACUCAGCCUUGCCCCCUCAUCCCUUCUUGCGUUUGGUAUUGAGAUUCUUCCCAGAUUCCACCCUUCUUUCUUUUGUAUGGACAGUUCCCCUUCAGUCCCAUCCCUCUACACACAUACACCCAGCCGGGGCCAAAUUUAUACUUAUAUAAAAGUUGUAAAUAUGUGAAAUUUUAUCCCUGUGCCCUUUCCUCUGCUUUCCCCACUUCAGGCCCUACCCCUGGACCCUUUCCUCUCUUCUUUGGCUGUUGUAAUUAUCUGGGGUUUGUACUGUACAUAUCGGGGUGUGUGUGUGUGGGCUGGGGGCGACCCCCCUCUGUACAGAGCUUCCUGGCCCCCUCCCCCCCGACCCUCCCCUUCCCCCCCACCCCCUUCAGGGUAGGGAGAUGCUCUUCCUACCCGUUUUAGUUUUAUUUUGUUUUCUCGUUCUCCCUGCCCCAGUCCCAGCCUUCUCUAUCCCCCACCACUGUCCCCUUUUCUCCACUCCCAGCCCCAUUUCCUUUUUUUCUGGAGUGUGUGGUGAAACAGAAAAAUCAUGUUUAAUAAACGGAGAUUGUUCUUUUAUCGCUGCACUGACUUUAUUAGCCUGGGAUCUCCAGAUUGACCAACAGGUGAUGAGAACUACUUUUUAAUUGCAAUGCUGUGUAUUAAACCUGGAACCUUCCACAUGCCCCGGAACCAAGCCGUAUAUCUCUGCCUUGAUGCUAUGAUCUCAUUGUCUACGAUCACCCUCCCAUUCAGCGAGAUUUAUUCUGUUUUAGAACAGGGGUUCAGCUCUCCUCUCACCCACUGCUUCACAUAGCUCUAAGGAGCAGGGAUGGUAUUUGAUGAGAGUUCCAGUAUAAAUCUACGUUUAUUCUUUAAAAGAAAUUACCUAUAAAUAAGGCUUAAAUUGUUGGUUAAAAUUCUUACAUGCGAGUAGUGAAAAAUAAAACCAAACUGGUUCCUUAGUAAAUCCGGGAUCCACGCCCUCUACUUGCCAGCCCAAUGAUUCUUGCCAGCCUCCGAUUCCCCGCAUGGAAACAGGACGGGAACACCUACCUCUCAUGGCUGGUGGUAGAACACGAAAUAAUGGGGGUAAGUGCCCAUCCCACACAAUAGGUACCCAAUUAAUUUUGCCCCUCUCCGCACCUGCUGGGGGGCGGGCGCUACUCUUAAUUACCAAGAAACGUAGCUUUGAAGGGCUGCGCUCUACUGAGAACCAGCUCCGGAGCCUCCGCCGCUGCCGGGACUCUGCAGCACCUGACAAGGCCAACCGCUGAC